UGGGGAAUAUUGCACAAUGGGGGAAACCCUGAUGCAGCAACGCCGCGUGAGUGAUGACGGCCUUCGGGUUGUAAAGCUCUGUCUUCAGGGACGAUAAUGACGGUACCUGAGGAGGAAGCCACGGCUAACUACGUGCCAGCAGCCGCGGUAAUGCGUAGGUGGCGAGCGUUGUCCGGAUUUACUGGGCGUAAAGGGAGCGUAGGCGGACUUUUAAGUGAGAUGUGAAAUACCCGGGCUCAACUUGGGUGCUGCAUUUCAAACUGGAAGUCUAGAGUGUAGGAGAGGAGAAUGGAAUUCAUAGUGUAGCGGUGAAAUGCGUAGAUAUUAGGAAAAACACCAGUGGCGAAGGCGAUUCUCUGGACUGUGACUGACGCUGAGGCUCGAAAGCGUGGGGAGCAAACA
Molecule: ribosomal RNA, 402 nt
Filed under: uncultured prokaryote
Description: bacterial SSU rRNA
Rfam family: Bacterial small subunit ribosomal RNA
Source: RNAcentral